RNAcentral lists this ribosomal RNA (907 nucleotides) under Sistotrema flavorhizomorphae. RNAcentral's name for it is "partial 28S ribosomal RNA". It matches the Rfam family "Eukaryotic large subunit ribosomal RNA", at positions 1 to 877 of the family's 3401-position model. Lineage: Eukaryota; Fungi; Basidiomycota; Agaricomycetes; Cantharellales; Hydnaceae. The record is from RNAcentral. RNAcentral also lists the same sequence under 1 other name.
AUUGCUUCUAAUUGUCCUUUGGACAUAUUAUUCAAUUGUCUGACCUCGGAUCAGGUGGGAUUACCCGCUGAACUUAAGCAUAUCAAUAAGCGGAGGAAAAGAAACUAACAAGGAUUCCCCUAGUAACGGCGAGUGAAGCGGGAUGAGCUCAAAUUUAAAAUCUGGUAGUCUUUGGCUGCCCGAGUUGUAAUCUAGAGAAGUGUUUUCUGUGCUGGACUGUGUACAAGUUUCCUGGAUACGGAACAUCAUAGAGGGUGAGAAUCCCGUCCUUGACGCAGGCUCCCAGUGCUUUGUGAUACGCUCUCAACGAGUCGAGUUGUUUGGGAUUGCAGCUCAAAAUGGGAGGUAAAUUCCUUCUAAAGCUAAAUAUUGGCGAGAGACCGAUAGCGAACAAGUACCGUGAGGGAAAGAUGAAAAGCACUUUGGAAAGAGAGUUAAACAGUACGUGAAAUUGUUAAAAGGGAAACGAUUGAAGUCAGUCGCGUCUACUUGGACUCAGCCUUGCCUUGGCUUGGUGCAUUUCCUUGUGGACGGGCCAGUGUUCAUGUUGGUUGCUGGAAAAAGUGUAGGGGAAUGUGGCUCUUUCGGGAGUGUUAUAGCCCCUGUUCAUAUACAGUGACUGAUAUGGAGUGGUACAGCAUGCUUCGGCGGUGCUUGUGCUGGCAUAAUGGCUUUAAACGACCCGUCUUGAAACACGGACCAAGGAGUCUAACAUGUCUGCGAGUAUUUGGGUGAUAAACCCGAGUGCAUAAUGAAAGUGAUAGCUGGGAACCCCGUAAGGGAGGCACUGGCGCCCCGAGCGGAUCUUCUGUGAUGCAUCGGAGGUAGAGCAUAUAUGUUGGGACCCGAAAGAUGGUGAACUAUGCCUGAAUAGGGUGAAGCCAGAGGAAACUCUGGUGGAGGCUCG